GGCUAAUAUCCUUUGCUAAUGACGGUACCUGAAGAAUAAGCACCGGCUAACUACGUGCCAGCAGCCGCGGUAAUACGUAGGGUGCAAGCGUUAAUCGGAAUUACUGGGCGUAAAGCGUGCGCAGGCGGUUUUGUAAGUCUGUCGUGAAAUCCCCGGGCUCAACCUGGGAAUUGCGAUGGAGACUGCAAGGCUAGAAUCUGGCAGAGGGGGGUAGAAUUCCACGUGUAGCAGUGAAAUGCGUAGAUAUGUGGAGGAACACCGAUGGCGAAGGCAGCCCCCUGGGUCAAGAUUGACGCUCAUGCACGAAAGCGUGGGGAGCAAACAGGAUUAGAUACCCUGGUAGUCCACGCCCUAAACGAUGUCUACUAGUUGUCGGGUCUUAAUUGACUUGGUAACGCAGCUAACGCGUGAAGUAGACCGCCUGGGGAGUACGGUCGCAAGAUUAAAACUCAAAGGAAUUGACGGGGACCCGCACAAGCGGUGGAUGAUGUGGAUUAAUUCGAUGCAACGCGAAAAACCUUACCUACCCUUGACAUGGCAGGAAU
RNAcentral lists this ribosomal RNA (545 nucleotides) under Rugamonas brunnea. Its description in RNAcentral is "Bacterial small subunit ribosomal RNA". It matches the Rfam family "Bacterial small subunit ribosomal RNA", at positions 453 to 996 of the family's 1533-position model. The record is from Rfam by way of RNAcentral. Lineage: Bacteria; Pseudomonadati; Pseudomonadota; Betaproteobacteria; Burkholderiales; Oxalobacteraceae.